Long non-coding RNA from Misgurnus anguillicaudatus (oriental weatherfish), 2408 nucleotides. RefSeq lists it as uncharacterized. NCBI's taxonomy places the organism in Eukaryota, Metazoa, Chordata, Actinopteri, Cypriniformes, Cobitidae. The record is from RefSeq and is a predicted model, not a curated record.
CUCAAAAAAACGAUUCCUGGCAAUAUUAGCUUUUAAGUAUUUGGAUCAUUUAGAUUUUAUUUAAAUACUCGUUUUUUAAAAUAUAUGUAAUCCGAUUUAUUAGAAUAUAUAUAAAUCUGUUCAAUUUAAAAAGUAUUAGAUUUAAUCAGUUAAAAUGUAUAAAUAUGAAUUAAAUAAAUCUAGCCGUGAAACAAACCGGAUAAAUUCUAUGAGAUUGGUUUACAUACAAAUUUCAGGAAACUGACUUUAGUAGAAGCGGAAAUGACGUCUAUUCACACUCCAGUCAGGAGGUGGCGCCAAAAUCAAAAAUAGACGCUACAGCACAUGGACUUCGCCAUUUUGCAUUGGACUGGAUCGUCAUCUCACUAGUCUACAAUCGCCAAAUUGUAGAUACAGCGUCAUUUCAUCGUCUAUAUGGUGGGACAACCUGCUAGACAGGUUGAAGACAUCUGUAUCUACCUCAAAGAAGGCAUGGAGAGACACAUUAAAGAAUAUGUGAAUUGUGAAAUUGGUGAGUUGGGGAUUGCACAGACAGUGGAAGUUCUGCAAAACCUACUUGGUGUCACACAUGGGUGUGAAAUUACUUUUUGGACUCAUUUAUGCACUUAAACUGAACUACCAGAAGAACAUCAGGUGCACCUUUGACCUUUCAAAAAAUCCUAAUGGAACUGGACUUGAUACAACCAAGCAAUCACUGAAAGAUGCUUCAGUGAAUACCUGACAGACACGCUGAUGCAUCCCCCUCAAAGUGGGUACAUUUUUGUACAUUUACAAGUGAACUUUUUAACAUUAAAGGAUUAUUGCACUUUCAUUAAACAAAAAUCCUGAUAAUUUACUGUCUGUCAUCGAAAAUGCUUGUCUUUUUUGUUCAGUCGAGAAGAAAUUGUUUUUUUGAGAAAAACAUUCCAGGAUUUUUCUUAAUUUAAUAGACCUUAUUGGACCUCAACAGUUAAGUUUCAAAGCAGCUUUAAAGGGCUCUAAACGAUCCCAAUCGAGGCAUAAGGGUUUUAUCUAUUCAAAAGAUUAUCAUUUUUGGCAAGAAAACUUUUAAAACGCAACAACUUGUCUUGCAUUAUCCAUGUGAUACACAGUGUGACAUUGUGUACUACGUAAUAACGUUGAAGUUUACACAUCACAAAUGUGAAACGCACAUUUGUGGACCAUUUUAAAUAAUAAACGGACCCAAACACAUUAAGUAGUAUCAUUUCGCAUACAACAACAUCUGAACACUCCUCUUUCUCCUCGCUUGUAAACGCUGGAGCGGUAGUUUAAAUUAUGUCAUGCUAGCGUGUCACACAGCUAGUGAAAAUUUGUUGUGAGUUAAAAGUCCUCUUUUAUUUUUAUUUUUGAAAAUGACAAUCAUUUAGCUAGAUAAGACCCUUAUGCCUUAUUCGGUAUAAUUUAGAGCCCUUUUAAAUCUGCAUUGAAACUGUAAACUUGAGGUCAAAUAGUCUUAAAUUGAGAAAAAUCCUGGAAUCUUUAACUCAAACUUUAUUUCUUCUUGACUGAACAAAGUAAAACAUAAACAUAUGGGGUUAGAAAAUUAUCGGGAUUUUUGUUUUAUUAAAUUGGAAUAUUGCUUUAACAAUUUUAAAAGUUGAAAAGUUUUUGAAAAAUGUAAUUGAUGUAUAUCUAACAUGUAAUUAGAGAUGCAUGAAAAUUGUUAAUGGCACACAGCCACUCAAAACACUAAGCAAUGUGCCAUUUUUUUUUCUUACCACCCAAUCAUUCUAAAUUAUUAUUAUUACAUCAUGUCACAGAUUUCUGAAAAUGUAAUGUUGUUGUCCCUGAUUUAUGUCUACCUCGAGUUUUACAGGGUUUUUUGUAUUUCUGCAGCCUGUUUGCUCAAAAUGUUUGCACUUAUUUGUGGAUUGAGGUUGAUUGUGGCUGAAAUGUCUGAAACACACUUAUUCAUUUAAUUUUUGCACACAUUACGAGGUGUAUAAGCCAUGGCUGUCAUGCUAGUUGUUAGCUGCUCUUUUUUGCUGCCUUAUGAGUAAUGCCUUGAAGUAUUAAAUAAAUUGAUAAAAUGUAAAACCAAGUGGUCUGGCUCUUCUUUUAUUUUUUGUGUUUUUUUGUUAUAGCAUAUUGUGAUUUAGGAGGGUGAAUGGGGGAGGAAUAUAUAAAUGGUUUAGUAAGAUAUCUAAAUGUAAUGCAUUUUAAGUGAAUUGGGUUUAUUAAUAAAGAAUACAUAAUCCAUUUUUUUAAUGCAUUUAAAACACAUUGGAUUAAGUAAAACUAUUACAUAAAUUUUAUUGGUUUCAUUUACAUAUAUCUAAAAAAUAUCUAUCAUAUAAAGUUUAUUUGUUUUUUUUAGAUUAGAAGUAUGUAAUCCAAAUGGAUGGAAAUGUUACAUGUAAUCAAAAUACAUAAAUCUUAUGAAUUAGGCCUAAAUAUUUUUUUGAGUG